CAGCAGCCACGGGAACACCAGCAGCCCAAGUGGUGGUCGCGUUUAUUGGGCCUAAAGCGCUCGUAGCCUGACCGGUAAGUUCCCCGUGAAAUCGGGUCGCCCAACGAUUCGGCUUGCGGGGAAUACUGUCGGUCUUGGGGCCGGGAGACGCCGAGGGUACUCCGGGGGUAGCGGUGAAAUGCUGUAAUCCUCGGGGGACUACCAGUGGCGAAGGCGCUCGGCGAUAACGGGCCUGACGGUGAGGGGCGAAAGCUGGGGGCGCGAACGGGAUUAGAUACCCCCGUAGUCCCUGUCUCUUAUU
RNAcentral lists this ribosomal RNA (301 nucleotides) under uncultured bacterium. RNAcentral describes it as "partial 16S ribosomal RNA". It matches the Rfam family "Archaeal small subunit ribosomal RNA", at positions 459 to 759 of the family's 1478-position model. The record is from RNAcentral.